This 263-nucleotide ribosomal RNA is filed under the name uncultured bacterium. RNAcentral's name for it is "partial 16S ribosomal RNA". It matches the Rfam family "Bacterial small subunit ribosomal RNA", at positions 793 to 1055 of the family's 1533-position model. The record is from RNAcentral.
GUCCACGCUGUAAACGAUGAUUGCUAGUUGUCGGGCGGCAUGCCGUUCGGUGACGCAGCUAACGCAUUAAGCAAUCCGCCUGGGGAGUACGGUCGCAAGAUUAAAACUCAAAGGAAUUGACGGGGGCCCCGCACAAGCGGUGGAGCAUGUGGUUUAAUUCGAAGCAACGCGCAGAACCUUACCACCUUUUGACAUGUCCGGCUAACCUCAGAGAUGAGGUGUUCACUUCGGUGACCGGAACACAGGUGCUGCAUGGCUGUCGU